This 427-nucleotide ribosomal RNA is filed under the name uncultured Candidatus Protochlamydia sp. RNAcentral describes it as "bacterial SSU rRNA". It matches the Rfam family "Bacterial small subunit ribosomal RNA", at positions 355 to 774 of the family's 1533-position model. The record is from RNAcentral. Lineage: Bacteria; Pseudomonadati; Chlamydiota; Chlamydiia; Parachlamydiales; Parachlamydiaceae.
UCGAGAAUCAUUCGCAAUGGGCGAAAGCCUGACGAUGCGACGCCGUGUGAGCGAAGAAGGCCUUAGGGUCGUAAAGCUCUUUCGCUUGGGAACAAGAAAAGGUGGCUAAUACCCACUGGAUUUGAGCGUACCAGGUAAAGAAGCACCGGCUAACUCCGUGCCAGCAGCUGCGGUAAUACGGAGGGUGCAAGCAUUAAUCGGAUUUAUUGGGCGUAAAGGGCGCGUAGGCGGAGAUAAAAGUCAGAUGUGAAAUCCCGGGGCUCAACCUCGGAACUGCAUUUGAAACUUUAUCCCUUGAGGGUAGGCGGAGAAAACGGAAUUCCACAAGUAGCGGUGAAAUGCGUAGAUAUGUGGAAGAACACCGGUGGCGAAGGCGGUUUUCUAGCUUAUUCCUGACGCUGAGGCGCGAAAGCAAGGGGAUCAAACA